Molecule: small nucleolar RNA, 130 nt
Organism: Grammomys surdaster
Lineage: Eukaryota; Metazoa; Chordata; Mammalia; Rodentia; Muridae
Product: small nucleolar RNA SNORA17
Exons: 1
Source: RefSeq, a predicted model, not a curated record
ACUGCCCCUAGAAGUUACAAGUGUGGCUGCUGUGUCACAUGUGCGCCAGCAGGUGGCAGAGAGGAGCAGUAUUAUGUCUAUGCUCAGUGUUCUGACCUAUGAACAUCUGAAUGAUUAGUAGCCUGACAUU